GAUGAACGCUGGCGGCGUGCUUAACACAUGCAAGUCGAACGGAAAGGCCCUGCUUUUGUGGGGUGCUCGAGUGGCGAACGGGUGAGUAACACGUGAGUAACCUGCCCUUGACUUUGGGAUAACUUCAGGAAACUGGGGCUAAUAUAGGAUAGGAGCUCCUGUUGCAUGGUGGGGGUUGGAAAGUUUCGGCGGUUGGGGAUGGACUCGCGGCUUAUCAGCUUGUUGGUGGGGUAGUGGCUUACCAAGGCUUUGACGGGUAGCCGGCCUGAGAGGGUGACCGGCGACAUUGGGACUGAGGUAGGGCCCAGACUGCAACGGUAGGCAGCAGUGGGGAAUAUUGCACAAUGGGCGGAAGCCUGAGGCAGCGACGCCGCGUGCGUGAUGACGUCCUUCGGGUUGUGAACCGCUUUCGCCUGUGACGAAGCGUGAGUGACGGUAAUGAGUAAAGAAGCACCGGCUAACUACGUG
Molecule: ribosomal RNA, 468 nt
Filed under: uncultured bacterium
Lineage: Bacteria
Description: partial 16S ribosomal RNA
Rfam family: Bacterial small subunit ribosomal RNA
Source: RNAcentral